Molecule: ribosomal RNA, 481 nt
Filed under: uncultured Mycobacterium sp.
Lineage: Bacteria; Bacillati; Actinomycetota; Actinomycetes; Mycobacteriales; Mycobacteriaceae
Description: partial 16S ribosomal RNA
Source: RNAcentral
CACGUAGUUGGCCGGUGCUUCUUCUAUAGGUACCGUCACUUACGCUUCGUCCCUACCGAAAGAGGUUUACAACCCGAAGGCCGUCAUCCCUCACGCGGCGUCGCUGCAUCAGGCUUGCGCCCAUUGUGCAAUAUUCCCCACUGCUGCCUCCCGUAGGAGUCUGGGCCGUAUCUCAGUCCCAGUGUGGCCGGACACCCUCUCAGGCCGGCUACCCGUCGUCGCCUUGGUAGGCCAUCACCCCCACCAACAAGCUGAUAGGCCGCGGGCCCAUCCCACACCGCAAAAGCCUUCCACCACAAACCAUGCGAUUCGUAGUCCUAUCCGGUAUUAGACCCAGUUUCCCAGGCUUAUCCCAAAGUGCAGGGCAGAUCACCCACGUGUUACUCACCCGUUCGCCACUCGAGCACCCCGAAGGGCCUUUCCGUCGACUUGCAUGUGUUAAGCACGCCGCCAGCGUUCGUCCUGAGCAGGAUCAAACUCU